Molecule: ribosomal RNA, 373 nt
Filed under: uncultured bacterium
Lineage: Bacteria
Description: bacterial SSU rRNA
Rfam family: Bacterial small subunit ribosomal RNA
Source: RNAcentral
ACGGAGGGUGCAAGCGUUAUUCGGAAUUAUUGGGCGUAAAGGGCGCGUAGGCGGCCGAACAGGUCAGGUGUGAAAGCCCGGGGCUUAACCCCGGAAGUGCAUUUGAAACCUUUUGGCUUGAGUAUGGGAGAGGAGAGCGGAAUUCCUGGUGUAGAGGUGAAAUUCGUAGAUAUCAGGAGGAACACCGGUGGCGAAGGCGGCUCUCUGGACCAAUACUGACGCUGAGGCGCGAAGGCGUGGGUAGCAAACAGGAUUAGAUACCCUGGUAGUCCACGCAGUAAACGUUGUUCACUAGGUGUAGUGGGUAUUGACCCCUACUGUGCCGGAGCUAACGCAUUAAGUGAACCGCCUGGGAAGUACGGUCGCAAGAUUA